RNAcentral lists this transfer RNA (58 nucleotides) under Liphistius erawan. RNAcentral describes it as "tRNA-Tyr". The record is from RNAcentral. Lineage: Eukaryota; Metazoa; Arthropoda; Arachnida; Araneae; Liphistiidae.
UAAGGAAGUCAUUGGCGUUAGAUUGUAAAUCUUUGGAUGAAGAAAUUCUCUUACUAAG